This 194-nucleotide ribosomal RNA is filed under the name uncultured soil bacterium. Its description in RNAcentral is "partial 16S ribosomal RNA". It matches the Rfam family "Bacterial small subunit ribosomal RNA", at positions 338 to 524 of the family's 1533-position model. The record is from RNAcentral.
CCUACGGGAGGCAGCAGUGGGGAAUUUUGCACAAUGGGGGCAACCCUGAUCCAGCCAUGCCGCGUGCGGGAAGAAGGCCUUCGGGUUGUAAACCGCUUUUGUCCGGGAAGAAAAGGCCUCCCCUAAUACGGGAGGUUCUUGACGGUACCGGAAGAAUAAGCACCGGCUAACUACGUGCCAGCAGCCGCGGUAAU